UACCAGACUCCUACGGGAGGCAGCAGUGGGGAAUAUUGCACAAUGGGGGAAACCCCGAUGCAGCGACGCCGCGUGAGUGAAGAAGUAUUUCGGUAUGUAAAGCUCUAUCAGCAGGGAAGAAAAUGACGGUACCUGACUAAGAAGCCCCGGCUAACUACGUGCCAGCAGCCGCGGUAAUACGUAGGGGGCAAGCGUUAUCCGGAUUUACUGGGUGUAAAGGGAGCGUAGACGGCAUGGCAAGUCAGAUGUGAAAGCCCGGGGCUCAACCCCGGGACUGCAUUUGAAACUGUCAGGCUGGAGUGCAGGAGAGGUAAGUGGAAUUCCUAGUGUAGCGGUGAAAUGCGUAGAUAUUAGGAGGAACACCAGUGGCGAAGGCGGCUUACUGGACUGUAACUGACGUUGAGGCUCGAAAGCGUGGGGAGCAAACAGGAUUAGAUACCCCUGUA
This 446-nucleotide ribosomal RNA is filed under the name uncultured bacterium. RNAcentral's name for it is "bacterial SSU rRNA". It matches the Rfam family "Bacterial small subunit ribosomal RNA", at positions 329 to 792 of the family's 1533-position model. The record is from RNAcentral.